GUGCCAGCCGCCGCGGUAAUACAGAGGUGGCAAGCGUUGUUCGGAAUUACUGGGCGUAAAGGGCGCGUAGGCGGUCUUGUAAGUCCUGUGUGAAAUCCCUCGGCUCAACUGAGGAACCGCACAGGGGACUGCAAGGCUUGAGUUCGGGAGAGGGAAGUGGAAUUCCGGGUGUAGCGGUGAAAUGCGUAGAUAUCCGGAGGAACACCGGUGGCGAAGGCGGCUUCCUGGACCGACACUGACGCUGAGGCGCGAAAGCUAGGGGAGCAAACGGGAUUAGAUACCCGCGUAGUCC
Molecule: ribosomal RNA, 292 nt
Filed under: uncultured bacterium
Lineage: Bacteria
Description: partial 16S ribosomal RNA
Rfam family: Bacterial small subunit ribosomal RNA
Source: RNAcentral